Callorhinchus milii (elephant shark) is the source of this 74-nucleotide non-coding RNA. The record is from the annotation of a RefSeq genome assembly. NCBI's taxonomy places the organism in Eukaryota, Metazoa, Chordata, Chondrichthyes, Chimaeriformes, Callorhinchidae.
AGUCCUGUAGCUCAGAGGUUAGAGCACUUGCCUAGCAAGCAAGAGGACCUGGGUUCGAUCCCCGGGCAGAACGG